AUUGAACGCUGGCGGCAUGCUUUACACAUGCAAGUCGAACGGCAGCGCGGGCUUCGGCCUGUAGUCGAGUGGCGAACGGGUGAGUAAUGCAUGGGAACGUGCCCAUUAGCGGGGGAUAGACCGGAGAAAGCCGGAUUAAUACCGCAUACGACCUGAGGGUGUAAGGGGGGGACCGAAAGGCCUUCGGCUGUUGGGGAGGGCGAUGUCGGAUUAGCUAGUUGGUGGGGUAAAGGCUUACCAAGGCGACGAUCCGUAGCUGGUCUGAGAGGACGAGCAGCCACACUGGGACUGAGACACGGCCCAGACUCCUACGGGAGGCAGCAGUGGGGAAUUUUGGACAAUGGGGGCAACCCUGAUCCAGCCAUGCCGCGUGCGUGAAGAAGGCCUUCGGGUUGUAAACCGCUUUUGUUCGGGAAGAAAACCUCUGGGCUAAUACCCCGGUGGGAUGACGGUACCGGAAGAAUAAGCACCGGCUAACUACGUG
This 484-nucleotide ribosomal RNA is filed under the name uncultured bacterium. RNAcentral describes it as "partial 16S ribosomal RNA". It matches the Rfam family "Bacterial small subunit ribosomal RNA", at positions 29 to 507 of the family's 1533-position model. The record is from RNAcentral.